RNAcentral lists this ribosomal RNA (273 nucleotides) under uncultured prokaryote. RNAcentral describes it as "partial 16S ribosomal RNA". It matches the Rfam family "Bacterial small subunit ribosomal RNA", at positions 524 to 794 of the family's 1533-position model. The record is from RNAcentral.
UACGUAGGUGGCAAGCGUUAUCCGGAAUUAUUUGGCGUAAAGAGCGCGCAGGUGGUUGAUUAAGUCUGAUGUGAAAGCCCACGUCUUAACCGUGGAGGGUCAUUGGAAACUGGUCGACUUGAGUGCAGAAGAGGGAAGUGGAAUUCCAUGUGUAGCGGUGAAAUGCGUAGAGAUAUGGAGGAACACCAGUGGCGAAGGCGGCUUCCUGGUCUGUAACUGACGCUGAGGCGCGAAAGCGUGGGGAGCAAACGGGGAUUAGAUACCCCGGUAGGU